UCUCCGUUGGUGAACCAGCGGAGGGAUCAUUACCGAGUUUACAACUCCCAAACCCCUGUGAACAUACCUGUUUUGUUGCUUCGGCGGUGCCCUCGCUCUCGCGGCGAGGCCCGCCAGAGGACCCAAACAAACUCUUUGACUUUGAUCUGGGAUUAUACUUCUGAGUGAUACAGAAAAUAAAAUCAAAACUUACAACAACGGAUCUCUUGGUUCUG
Molecule: unclassified non-coding RNA, 215 nt
Filed under: plant metagenome
Description: partial contains small subunit ribosomal RNA, internal transcribed spacer 1, and 5.8S ribosomal RNA
Source: RNAcentral